This 360-nucleotide long non-coding RNA is filed under the name Phoenix dactylifera (date palm). RNAcentral describes it as "long non-coding RNA (PDAC_LNC017051)". The record is from RNAcentral. Lineage: Eukaryota; Viridiplantae; Streptophyta; Magnoliopsida; Arecales; Arecaceae.
UGGAAAAAUGUUUCCCUUAAGGAACUCGACCAUUCUAUGAAUCACUUCUUAUGUACAAAAAUAGGAAGGUUAAAUCAUGGACCUUACACUUUCUGUGGACCUGCAAAAUAAGGCCAUGCAAUCAAUAGUCCAACUGCAUGCAAAAUAAUUGGUACAUGUACUAUUAGUGUUCCAGUUGCAAGUUGAGCACCAUACUGACAGCAUGAUGGUAUCAGAACUGUGAACUUCACGUAUAUCAUAUUUUGGAGUGGGGGAGUGUUGACAGAGGAGGGGGGUAAUUGAGCAUGCACAUCUCCUUGACACCCCCAAACCACACCCACACUCGCACACCUAGAGAGAGAGAGAGAGAGAGAGAGAGAA